RNAcentral lists this ribosomal RNA (512 nucleotides) under uncultured bacterium. Its description in RNAcentral is "bacterial SSU rRNA". It matches the Rfam family "Bacterial small subunit ribosomal RNA", at positions 18 to 518 of the family's 1533-position model. The record is from RNAcentral.
UCUGGCUCAGAACGAACGCUGGCGGCGCGUCUUAAGCAUGCAAGUCGAACGGCAAGAGGUAGCAAUACCUCCUAGAGUGGCGGACUGGUGAGUAACACGUGGGUGACAUACCCUUCAGAUGGGGAUAGCUAUUAGAAAUAGUAGAUAAUACCGAAUACGAGCACAGGGGUUAGAGAUCUGUGAGGAAAGGAGCUAAGGCUCCGCUGAAGGAAUGGCCUGCGGCCCAUUAGCUAGUUGGUGAGGUAAGAGCCCACCAAGGCGAUGAUGGGUAUCCGGCCUUAGAGGGUGAACGGACACAUUGGGACUGAGAUACGGCCCAGACUCCUACGGGAGGCAGCAGCUAAGAAUAUUCCGCAAUGGACGAAAGUCUGACGGAGCGACGCCGCCGUGGAUGAAGAAGGCCGGAAGGUUGUAAAAUCCUUUUGAAACUGAAGAAUAAGCGUUGUAGGGAAUGACAGCGUGGUGACAGUAGGUUUUGAAUAAGCAACGGCUAAUUACGUGCCAGCCGCCGC